RNAcentral lists this ribosomal RNA (708 nucleotides) under uncultured bacterium. RNAcentral's name for it is "bacterial SSU rRNA". It matches the Rfam family "Bacterial small subunit ribosomal RNA", at positions 125 to 851 of the family's 1533-position model. The record is from RNAcentral.
CCUGCCCUGUACAGGGGGAUAACAGCUGGAAACGGCUGCUAAUACCGCAUAAGCGCACGAGGAGACAUCUCCUUGUGUGAAAAACUCCGGUGGUACAGGAUGGGCCCGCGUCUGAUUAGCUGGUUGGCAGGGUAACGGCCUACCAAGGCAACGAUCAGUAGCCGGUCUGAGAGGAUGAACGGCCACAUUGGAACUGAGACACGGUCCAAACUCCUACGGGAGGCAGCAGUGGGGAAUAUUGCACAAUGGGGGAAACCCUGAUGCAGCAACGCCGCGUGAGUGAAGAAGUAUUUCGGUAUGUAAAGCUCUAUCAGCAGGGAAGAUAAUGACGGUACCUGACUAAGAAGCUCCGGCUAAAUACGUGCCAGCAGCCGCGGUAAUACGUAUGGAGCAAGCGUUAUCCGGAUUUACUGGGCGUAAAGGGUGCGUAGGUGGCAGUGCAAGUCAGAUGUGAAAGGCCGGGGCUCAACCCCGGAGCUGCAUUUGAAACUGCUCGGCUAGAGUACAGGAGAGGCAGGCGGAAUUCCUAGUGUAGCGGUGAAAUGCGUAGAUAUUAGGAGGAACACCAGUGGCGAAGGCGGCCUGCUGGACUGUUACUGACACUGAGGCACGAAAGCGUGGGGAGCAAACAGGAUUAGAUACCCUGGUAGUCCACGCCGUAAACGAUGAAUAAUAGGUGUCGGGGCCGUAUAGGCUUCGGUGCCGCCG